UGGGGAAUUUUGGACAAUGGGCGAAAGCCUGAUCCAGCAAUGCCGCGUGUGUGAAGAAGGCCUUCGGGUUGUAAAGCACUUUUGUCCGGAAAGAAAUCCUUGGCUCUAAUACAGUCGGGGGAUGACGGUACCGGAAGAAUAAGCACCGGCUAACUACGUGCCAGCAGCCGCGGUAAUACGUAGGGUGCAAGCGUUAAUCGGAAUUACUGGGCGUAAAGCGUGCGCAGGCGGUUUGCUAAGACCGAUGUGAAAUCCCCGGGCUCAACCUGGGAACUGCAUUGGUGACUGGCAGGCUAGAGUAUGGCAGAGGGGGGUAGAAUUCCACGUGUAGCAGUGAAAUGCGUAGAGAUGUGGAGGAAUACCGAUGGCGAAGGCAGCCCCCUGGGCCAAUACUGACGCUCAUGCACGAAAGCGUGGGGAGCAAACAGGAUUAGAUACCCCUGGUAGUCCACGCCCUAAAACGAUGUCAACUAGUUGUUGGGGAUUCAUUUCCUUAGUAACGUAGCUAACGCGUGAAGUUGACCGCCUGGGGAGUACGGUCGCAAGAUUAAAACUCAAAUGAAUUGACGGGGUU
This 574-nucleotide ribosomal RNA is filed under the name uncultured bacterium. Its description in RNAcentral is "partial 16S ribosomal RNA". It matches the Rfam family "Bacterial small subunit ribosomal RNA", at positions 355 to 920 of the family's 1533-position model. The record is from RNAcentral.